This 253-nucleotide ribosomal RNA is filed under the name uncultured bacterium. Its description in RNAcentral is "partial 16S ribosomal RNA". It matches the Rfam family "Bacterial small subunit ribosomal RNA", at positions 524 to 776 of the family's 1533-position model. The record is from RNAcentral.
UACGAAGGUGGCUAGCGUUGUUCGGAAUCACUGGGCGUAAAGCGCGCGUAGGCGGCUUUGCAAGUCAGGGGUGAAAUCCUAAGGCUCAACCUUAGAAUUGCCUUUGAAACUGCAUGGCUGGAGUACUGGAGGGGUUAGCGGAAUUGCUAAUGUAGAGGUGAAAUUCGUAGAUAUUAGCAGGAACACCGAUGGCGAAGGCAGCUAACUGGACAGUCACUGACGCUGAGGCGCGAAAGCGUGGGGAUCAAACAGG